UUCGCUUCUCUGCCUUUUGGCUAAGAUCAAGUGUAGUAUCUGUUCUCAUCAGUUUAAUAUCUGAUAUGUCCUCUAUAUGAGGACUGCUUAUUUUCUUGGGCAGUCAUGUGCUGAGGUGUCCUUGAGCAAGACAUCUAACCCCCA
This is a small nuclear RNA of Pygocentrus nattereri (red-bellied piranha), 144 nucleotides long. Its record names the gene U2. It matches the Rfam family "U2 spliceosomal RNA". Rfam says of the family: U2 is a small nuclear RNA (snRNA) component of the spliceosome (involved in pre-mRNA splicing). Complementary binding between U2 snRNA (in an area lying towards the 5' end but 3' to hairpin I) and the branchpoint sequence (BPS) of the intron results the bulging out of an unpaired adenosine, on the BPS, which initiates a nucleophilic attack at the intronic 5' splice site, thus starting the first of two transesterification reactions that mediate splicing. The record is from Ensembl. Lineage: Eukaryota; Metazoa; Chordata; Actinopteri; Characiformes; Serrasalmidae.